GGCCCAUGAACUCGUUUUAAAGUUGAAGCAAUUUUAAAUGAUAAAAACCAGUCGAAAAAAUUCAAGUUUUCCCGACAUAUCACAGUUUGACGUCGCGAACAUAGCUUUUUACAUUAGCAACGUCAUUAGCUCCCCUGUACCUGUAUCGUAUGAGUUGAUGCAAGUAUAUAUAAUAUAAAAGAUGUAUAUGUACUUAUUUAAGUUGUUUGGUAAAUGUACAUGACUUAGUAACGGUUCAAUGUUAUUAUUUAUUUUGUUUAUUUAUUGUAUGUUCUUUUUGACCGAGUUAGUUAGGUUACAUUUUACAAUGUCUACCGGAUUUAUUUGCCCUAUACAUACGUUAUUUCCUGCAAAGUAAUCUAUAACAUAUAUCUCGUUGUGACCAGUGAUUGUUUAAAUUUUGUUGUUUUCCCCGCUUCAGAGUAAUGAUUGUUUUGCUAAAUGUAUCAAUUCUGCAGUCGAAUUCUUUAUUUCACAAGAAGUGUUGUGCAAAGUUAGAGUUUAUUAUUAUAAUGAUGAAAAAUUAUUCCUAUUUACAUUUUAUAUUUGCAAUAUAUUUUUCGCGAAUAUAAAAUU
RNAcentral lists this long non-coding RNA (576 nucleotides) under Mytilus galloprovincialis (Mediterranean mussel). Lineage: Eukaryota; Metazoa; Mollusca; Bivalvia; Mytilida; Mytilidae. The record is from RNAcentral.